Gorilla gorilla gorilla (western lowland gorilla) is the source of this 96-nucleotide unclassified non-coding RNA. It matches the Rfam family "Y RNA". From Rfam's summary of the family: Y RNAs are components of the Ro ribonucleoprotein particle (Ro RNP), in association with Ro60 and La proteins. The Y RNAs and Ro60 and La proteins are well conserved, but the function of the Ro RNP is not known. The record is from Ensembl. NCBI's taxonomy places the organism in Eukaryota, Metazoa, Chordata, Mammalia, Primates, Hominidae.
GGCUGGUACAAUGGUAGUGGGUUAUCAGAACUUAUUAACAUUAGCAUCACCAAAAUUGGUGUACAACCCCCCUGCCAAUGCUAAAUUUGGCUUUAU